This is a long non-coding RNA of Oncorhynchus nerka (sockeye salmon), 466 nucleotides long. RefSeq lists it as uncharacterized. Lineage: Eukaryota; Metazoa; Chordata; Actinopteri; Salmoniformes; Salmonidae. The record is from RefSeq and is a predicted model, not a curated record. The transcript has 3 exons.
CUCUUCUUCUCUCUCCUCUUUAGAUUAGUUUCAUUUACUUCAUCACUUAUAAUCUCCUCCCUCCCUCUCUCAGGGCUGAUGAGUGGUUGUCGGCGGCAGUGGACUGUCUAGAGUUCCUGCCAGAUGACUUGGUGGUUGAGGUGAGCAGGGGUCUGCCCCGCUGCGGUGAGGACCAGGGCCAGUGUAAGAGACUGGUGUAUGGGAUCCUGGUCCAGCACUACGGAGAGACACAGCACUCUCCACUACUCAGCAACCACGUCUUCGACAUCCACUCCAGCAUCUCUGAACUACUGGUGAAUGGGAAGAGGGAGCAGGCUCUGGAGGCCCUACAGCUGUGUCUGAAACUACAGGACUCUCGCAGUAAAGAGGAGCUACGCAGACUGCUGCGAUUCAUGGCCGUCGCUGCCAAACCGCAGGAGGUCAAACUGCACAAAGAGGUAGAGAACAGGAUGGCGGUGAAGAGAUC